This 30-nucleotide non-coding RNA is filed under the name Mus musculus (house mouse). Lineage: Eukaryota; Metazoa; Chordata; Mammalia; Rodentia; Muridae. The record is from RNAcentral.
UGAUGGUAUUGGAAAUGCAUUGCUUCUAAU